This 460-nucleotide ribosomal RNA is filed under the name uncultured bacterium. RNAcentral describes it as "partial 16S ribosomal RNA". It matches the Rfam family "Bacterial small subunit ribosomal RNA", at positions 338 to 795 of the family's 1533-position model. The record is from RNAcentral.
CCUACGGGUGGCAGCAGUGAGGAAUAUUGGUCAAUGGGCGAGAGCCUGAACCAGCCAAGUCGCGUGAAGGAUGACGGCCCUACGGGUUGUAAACUUCUUUUGUCAUGGAGCAAUUGGCUCCACGCGUGGGCUUAGCGAGAGUCCCUGAAGAAAACGCAUCGGCUAACUUCGUGCAAGCGGCCGCGUUAAUACGGAGUAUGCGAGCGUUAACCGGCUUUAUUGGGUUGAAAGGGGUCGUAGGCGGAAUAUCAAGCCAGAGGGAAAAAUUCGGGGCGCAACCCCGUCGAGCCGUUGAAACUGAUGGUCUUGAGUGGGCGAGAAGUAUGCGGAAUGCGUGGUGUAGCGGUGAAAUGCAUAGAUAUCACGCAGAACUCCGAUUGCGAAGGCAGCAUACCGGCGCCCAACUGACGCUGAAGCACGAAAGCGUGGGUAUCGAACAGGAGUAGAUACCCGUGUAGUC